AUUGAACGCUGGCGGCAUGCUUUACACAUGCAAGUCGAACGGCAGCGCGGGCUUCGGCCUGGCGGCGAGUGGCGAACGGGUGAGUAAUGCAUCGGAACGUGCCCAGUAGUGGGGGAUAGCCCGGCGAAAGCUGGAUUAAUACCGCAUACGACCUGAGGGUGAAAGCGGGGGACCGAAAGGCCUCGCGCUAUUGGAGCGGCCGAUGUCGGAUUAGCUAGUUGGUGGGGUAAAGGCUUACCAAGGCGACGAUCCGUAGCUGGUCUGAGAGGACGACCAGCCACACUGGGGCUGAGACACGGCCCAGACUCCUACGGGAGGCAGCAGUGGGGAAUUUUGGACAAUGGGGGCAACCCUGAUCCAGCCAUGCCGCGUGCGGGAAGAAGGCCUUCGGGUUGUAAACCGCUUUUGUUCGGGAAGAAAUCCUCUGGGCUAAUACCCCGGGGGGAUGACGGUACCGGAAGAAUAAGCACCGGCUAACUACGUG
Molecule: ribosomal RNA, 484 nt
Filed under: uncultured bacterium
Lineage: Bacteria
Description: partial 16S ribosomal RNA
Rfam family: Bacterial small subunit ribosomal RNA
Source: RNAcentral